RNAcentral lists this ribosomal RNA (21 nucleotides) under Carinigera chelidromia chelidromia. Its description in RNAcentral is "Isabellaria chelidromia chelidromia partial 5.8S ribosomal RNA". Lineage: Eukaryota; Metazoa; Mollusca; Gastropoda; Stylommatophora; Clausiliidae. RNAcentral also lists the same sequence under 2 other names. The record is from RNAcentral.
CACGCCCGUCUGAGGGUCGGC